This is a small nuclear RNA of Pteronotus mesoamericanus, 107 nucleotides long. NCBI's taxonomy places the organism in Eukaryota, Metazoa, Chordata, Mammalia, Chiroptera, Mormoopidae. The record is from RefSeq and is a predicted model, not a curated record.
GUGCUCACUUCAGCAGCACAUCUACUAAAACUGGAACGAUACGGAGAAGAUCAGCGUGGCCCCUGUACAAGCAUGACACGCAAAUUUGUGGAGCGUUCUACAAUUUU